AUGGCCGGAAGGAAGGGCGGCGACAGGAAGAAGGCGGUGACCCGCUCCGUGAAGGCCGGGCUCCAGUUCCCCGUCGGCCGCAUCGGCCGCUACCUCAAGAAGGGCCGCUACGCCCAGCGCGUCGGCUCCGGCGCCCCCGUCUACCUCGCCGCCGUCCUCGAGUACCUCGCCGCCGAGGUCCUGGAGCUCGCCGGCAACGCGGCCAAGGACAACAAGAAGACCCGCAUCAUCCCGCGCCACCUUCUCCUCGCCGUCCGCAACGACCAGGAGCUCGGCAGGCUGCUCGCCGGCGUGACCAUCGCCCACGGCGGCGUGAUCCCCAACAUCAACUCUGUGCUGCUCCCCAAGAAGUCCCCCGCCGCCGCCGAGAAGGAGGCCAAGUCGCCCAAGAAGAAGACGGCCACCAAGUCCCCCAAGAAGAAGGUCGCCGCCAAGGAGUAG
RNAcentral lists this ribosomal RNA (441 nucleotides) under Triticum aestivum (bread wheat). Its description in RNAcentral is "partial small subunit ribosomal RNA". The record is from RNAcentral. Lineage: Eukaryota; Viridiplantae; Streptophyta; Magnoliopsida; Poales; Poaceae.